RNAcentral lists this ribosomal RNA (520 nucleotides) under uncultured Glomus. Its description in RNAcentral is "SSU rRNA". It matches the Rfam family "Eukaryotic small subunit ribosomal RNA", at positions 569 to 1092 of the family's 1831-position model. The record is from RNAcentral. Lineage: Eukaryota; Fungi; Glomeromycota; Glomeromycetes; Glomerales; Glomeraceae.
AGCAGCCGCGGUAAUUCCAGCUCCAAUAGCGUAUAUUAAAGUUGUUGCAGUUAAAAAGCUCGUAGUUGAAUUUCGAGACCGGUCUACUGGUCGUGCUUUUGUACGUACUGGUUUUAUUGGUUUCUCCUUUCUGACGAACUAUAAUGCCAUUAAUUUGGUGUUAUGGGGAAUCAGGACUGUUACUUUGAAAAAUUAGAGUGUUUAAAGCAGGCUCACGCUUGAAUACAUUAGCAUGGAAUAACGGAAUAGGACGUUUGAUUCUAUUUUGUUGGUUUCUAGGAUCGACGUAAUGAUUAAUAGGGAUAGUUGGGGGCAUUAGUAUUCAAUUGUCAGAGGUGAAAUUCUUGGAUUUAUUGAAGACUAACUACUGCGAAAGCAUUUGCCAAGGAUGUUUUCAUUAAUCAAGAACGAAAGUUAGGGGAUCGAAGACGAUCAGAUACCGUCGUAGUCUUAACCAUAAACUAUGCCGACUAGGGAUCGGAUGAUGUUAACUUUUUAAUGACUCAUUCGGCGCCUUACG